Molecule: ribosomal RNA, 460 nt
Filed under: uncultured bacterium
Lineage: Bacteria
Description: partial 16S ribosomal RNA
Rfam family: Bacterial small subunit ribosomal RNA
Source: RNAcentral
CCUACGGGUGGCAGCAGUGAGGAAUAUUGGUCAAUGGACGAGAGUCUGAACCAGCCAAGUAGCGUGAAGGAUGACUGCCCUAUGGGUUGUAAACUUCUUUUAUAUGGGGAUAAAACGUUCCACGGGUGGGUUUUUGUAUGUACCAUAUGAAUAAGGAUCGGCUAACUCCGUGCCAGCAGCCGCGGUAAUCCGGAGGAUCCGAGCGUUAUCCGGAUUUAUUGGGUUUAAAGGGAGCGUAGGUGGAUUGUUAAGUCAGUUGUGAAAUUUUGCGGUUGAACCGUGAAAUUGCAGUUGAAACUGGCAGUCGUGAGUACAGUAGAGGUGGGCGGAAUGCGUGGUGUAGCGGUGAAAUGCUUAGAUAUCACGAAGAACUCCGAUUGCGAAGGCAGUUCACUGGACUGCAACUGACACUGAGGCUCGAAAGUGUGGGUAUCAAACAGGAUUAGAUACCCUAGUAGUC